CAUGCAAGUCGAGCGCCCCGCAAGGGGAGCGGCAGACGGGUGAGUAACGCGUGGGAAUCUACCCAUCACUACGGAACAACUCCGGGAAACUGGAGCUAAUACCGUAUACGUCCUUCGGGAGAAAGAUUUAUCGGUGAUGGAUGAGCCCGCGUUGGAUUAGCUAGUUGGUGGGGUAAUGGCCUACCAAGGCGACGAUCCAUAGCUGGUCUGAGAGGAUGAUCAGCCACACUGGGACUGAGACACGGCCCAGACUCCUACGGGAGGCAGCAGUGGGGAAUAUUGGACAAUGGGCGCAAGCCUGAUCCAGCCAUGCCGCGUGAGUGAUGAAGGCCCUAGGGUUGUAAAGCUCUUUCAACGGUGAAGAUAAUGACGGUAACCGUAGAAGAAGCCCCGGCUAUCUUCGUGCCAGCAGCCGCGG
RNAcentral lists this ribosomal RNA (418 nucleotides) under uncultured bacterium. RNAcentral's name for it is "bacterial SSU rRNA". It matches the Rfam family "Bacterial small subunit ribosomal RNA", at positions 54 to 520 of the family's 1533-position model. The record is from RNAcentral.